RNAcentral lists this ribosomal RNA (415 nucleotides) under uncultured prokaryote. RNAcentral describes it as "bacterial SSU rRNA". It matches the Rfam family "Bacterial small subunit ribosomal RNA", at positions 505 to 918 of the family's 1533-position model. The record is from RNAcentral.
GUGUCAGCAGCCGCGGUAAUACGGAGGGUGCGAGCGUUAAUCGGAAUUACUGGGCGUAAAGCGUGCGUAGGCGGUUCGUUAAGUCAGAUGUGAAAGCCCUGGGCUCAACCUGGGAACUGCAUUUGAAACUGGCGGACUAGAGUUUAGUAGAGGGGAGUGGAAUUUCAGGUGUAGCGGUGAAAUGCGUAGAUAUCUGAAGGAACACCAGUGGCGAAGGCGACUCCCUGGACUAGAACUGACGCUGAGGUACGAAAGCGUGGGUAGCAAACAGGAUUAGAUACCCUGGUAGUCCACGCCGUAAACGAUGUCGACUAGCCGUUGGUCCUAUUUACAGGAUUAGUGGCGCAGCUAACGCAUUAAGUCGACCGCCUGGGGAGUACGGCCGCAAGGUUAAAACUUAAAUGAAUUGACGGGG